ACCCCAUAUUGAGGACACUUCCUUAGCAAUUCCUUGUACCUUUUCCAAGCCUCAUACAAAGUUUCAAACUCCAUAUGUCGAAAAAAAGAUAUGUUAUUUUUUAGCUU
Molecule: small nucleolar RNA, 107 nt
Organism: Dioscorea cayenensis subsp. rotundata (Guinea yam)
Lineage: Eukaryota; Viridiplantae; Streptophyta; Magnoliopsida; Dioscoreales; Dioscoreaceae
Source: RefSeq, a predicted model, not a curated record